RNA transcript from Tigriopus californicus, 2567 nucleotides. RefSeq lists it as uncharacterized. Lineage: Eukaryota; Metazoa; Arthropoda; Copepoda; Harpacticoida; Harpacticidae. The transcript is spliced from 3 exons. The record is from RefSeq and is a predicted model, not a curated record.
GUACCUGGAAUGGCUCUCACUCGAGAGCACGCAGACGGAUCCGUCUCAUGUUCAAUAAUUCUUAUUAAUUGAUUACGACAAACACCGAGAAACGUUCGGGGCGGUUCGUAUGUCGAGCUAGGCGUUUUAUGGAAAGCUAAAAUGCGUUUCCCGAGCACAAGACUCCAUCCUACACUGAAGCUCAAUUCAUUUCCUAGUAGGUUGCGUGAGCGGAUUGGAAGCGGCCGCUCAAAAUCUCCGAGCGAGAAAAAAGAAGCGAGAAAAUCACUUUGACGAGAUUCCUGAGCCAAUUUCGGGUCGAGCUCAGGCUCGAACCGAGCCUAAGGCGUUGAAAUAUCCUUGAAUAGUUCAGGAGAUGUUAGAAAAAGAAACAGGAGAUGGCCUAGGCGGGAGUGGUGGCCUGAAAUUGAGUUACAAGGUCAAGAAACAGACCCUAUUCAGGGUCACUUGGAAUACAAACUGAACGAAAGAAGGACGUAGCGGCUCAGUUCUGAACAGCGACUUCGUUGGCUUAAGUUUAAUUUGAAGACAAGUCUGAGAAACACAAUGCAUAGUUCCCAUUGGUUUGGUGUGUUCAGUGUUCUUUUAUCAGCUAUGAUAAGUGUCUCUUCCACGCAAGAAAGAAGCGAAGAACGAGUGAUUGGUUAUGGCAUGACCAAUUUGGGCCGCACCGUGCUCACAGGAGGAUUGGUUGUUGUCUUGGGGGCCGUGGGUGUGGGGGCCGUCGUAUUAGCGGGGCGUGGAACCCAAGGGGCGAGGGGUGUGACCACCCAACGCCGAGGGCAAAAUCUAGGACCUCAUUGGCAAAAGGACCGCCUAUGUCAACUCCGACCCCUUCUACCUCAAUGUCUAGCCAAGCUGAAAUAAAACUAAUAUAGGCAUGAAGAUGUGUUCGAUUUUGGAGUGUGGAUGAUUUGAGUUCAAGACUAGAUGAGUUGAAAUAUGAAGACGAGAAGGAAACUCGAAGUCGGUGUGCUCCAAUUCCGAAACCAGUUCAGGUGAAUGACCCAAAUCGAGAAGUUGAUUUAUGCUCGGAAGAGAUAACAAGAACGCUUCAGCUAUUCUACUGAGCCAAGCUUUCGUCCGACUGAUACUUAAAUGAUACUGCGUUCGUUAUUGGCCGAUAUGUCCCCGGGAACCGAUCAAGAUCCUGCUAGUUUGGAAGUAUGUCCAAAAAAACCGCAUCACUCUCAAUCGUGCUAAACUUGGAAUUAAUUAGAUCGGAGAUUCCACCUAUUGCUUGACUUUGGCAUUGGGUUCAGGUUUUAUUUAAACGGAAAAGAUUGCCGUGUUAUGUGUAGGUUAUCGGAGACACGACUUUCAGACAGAUUACCCUGCAUAAAGGGGUUAUUUGUAUUCCGCAACUUUUUUUGGCCUUUGAAUUUUUAAUUUAGUCUGGGACAAACCCAAAGAAGACAUCAAUUAUUCUGAUGUCCGUUUUUUCUUCGGCCGAGAAUCAUAAACGGAAGGGUGAUCAAUUGAAAUUAACUUACAUUAUUGGAUUUCUUCGAUUUCAAUCGUCCAAGUACCGAUUCGAACAAUCUCUUUCUAAGCAUUUUGUGCACCCUCCGGCUCAAUCAUAUUUAUCAAUCAAUUCCGAUAUUGAUUUUGGUCCACUCUGGCUAGCUUUUUACUUAUUUAUUUUAGUAGGCUUAUGGAUUUUUGCUAUAUCAAAGAACCAUUUCGACACUCUGCAGUUUGCUGUUUUAGCUUUGAUUUAGAGGUAGGUUUUUGAGAAUUUGCUUCAAAACUCAAAACACUGUUUGAAAUGAACCACUUUAAAAGGGUUUACAUAUGUAUCGUACGUAGCUAGUUCUCGAAAAACAAAUCCCUCCGCAGAAGCAUUUGAACUCAAUUUUAAGGCGACGACGUGAAUUUUCGAUUAAGAAAACAUUUUACCAUAUCAUUACAUAAUUUGGAUCUCUUCUGGAUGUCAGUUUCACUCCCGGGCUUUAUGUAAAAAAAACCUGGGCCCUCGGUUUUACAGCCAUUCUGAAAUCGUUAUUACACAUUGAGCCCCUAGCUCAAAUAGCCCCAUUUUCUUAUCAUUGGAGCGAGACUGACCGGUCAGACCCAGAUUACUUAAAGAAAAAAAAACAAGAAAAAACGCUAGGAUGGUCGAAUGCAUAUGUGCGUUGGUCGAAGUCAUCCACGAUGCCCGCGUUUCACCCGUUGGAAAGUUAGGGCAUAAAUAGAAACCUGAUCUUGAGCAGUUCUCAGUUGCCUCCGAGACCUCCACCAUGAAAGUUUUCGAAUCGACCUUUUCCCUGUUCUUGGGCGCCGUGGUGGCUGUUCAGGGCGUGCCACAAUACUUUUACGCCUAUCCAGGGACGUUUCCUUCGUUUCAACCCAAUGGGUUGAAAUUCAGCCACACUCCACAACAAUUCGGCCACACUCCGCAACAGUUUGGCAAUAUCCGUCAUUCCGCACAAGAGGCCAAUUGCCGGAUAGAAAUGGAGCCAAUCGCUCACCAGCAAUGCCAAACCAAGAUCGAACAGGAAUGUGAGACCGGUAAGAGCCAUAGGAAUUAAUUGAUCUGAGAAUAAGUGGCCCUACGUGUCAACGAU